AGCCUCUCUCCUUUAUAAACUACCCGAUCUUGGGUAUUUCUUCUUAGCAGUGUGAGAACGGACUAAUGCAUCAAGGUUUUCAAAAGAGCUCUACCCACAGAUCUUUUAAAUUCCAUUCUUUUCCUUUGGCUUCAUAAAUGAGUGAGCUUUCUUAAGGCUUAUUAUCAAGAGUGGCUUUCAAGUUUUAGGAGCACAUUAGGUCUCUGAAGCCUUGUAAAUUUCUUUUAAGUCACAUGAAAAAGAUCUUUACUUCCAAGGAGACACCUGGCUAUGCCGGGGCCUUUGGGUUUGCAGGGCUCAUCCUGCACUUUUGGGGUGAGUGAGAAAAUGAUGCUCACCUCCUGGCUGCUUCAGCCUCCAAGUGUCCAACGCUUAAAUGAACAGACGGGGUCCUCCCUCUCAGGCCUCAUUAUUGAGGGCAAACUAUCCCCCGUGACAGAGGCGGGCAAAGGACAUUGUGAGCUUAUUCAGCCCUGCAGAGGCGACACGCUGGGGAUGUUCUCUUCCUAAGGCCAGAGAUGCUUCUGAGGAUGAUGAGCUGAUGCAGGCAGGGGUGGCUACUCUGCGCAGAGGGCAGAAUAGUGCCGGCCCCCGGGAUGGGCGAGAGGAGGGAGCAUCCAGGAGCUGGGCCUGCAAAGGGAGGGACGGAGAGGCCCUGGGCCAUGCUGAGGGUUUGAACUUGAUCCUGAGGCCAUAGGGGGCCGCAGGAGGGCUUUACACAGAACAUAAUUAUAUGGUAAGAUGUAACCGUCAGAAAGUUAUAGACGGCUGGGGUAACUACACGGAUGGCAACAGACAAGAAGCUGGAAGCUGCUGGGAAGCUUUUGGGUGAUCUGGGUGAGGAGGGAAGGGUGCUGUGCCAAGGAUGGGGGAGGACAGCCGCCACUGGGGUGGAGAUGCAGGACUUGGGACUGGCUGGGGGGCAGUGAGUCAGGAUGGCCCACCCCUGGCCUGGCCACCAGGAGCACGGGGGUGCCAUCCAGGAGUGAGACAUGCGGACAAGGGGCAAGCCUGGAGGGAGAGAUGAGUGCAGCUUUGUUUUUAAAAAUUUUUUGUAAAAUACACGUAAGAAAAUUUACCAUCUGAAUCAUUUUUAGCUCUACAGUUGAGUCUACUCGCAUCGUUCUGCACCGGCUGUCUAGGGCUUUCUUGUCGCGAAAGUAAGCCCUGUCCUCCUUCAACACUAACUCCUCAUUCCCCUCUGCCAGCCCUGACACCCACCCUGACACCCACCCUUCUACUUCCUGUCUCCGUGGGUUUACUGUUCGGGGGGUAUGCAGUGGGAUCGCACAGUGCUUGUCCUGUGGCUGGCUCCCCCGCCCGGCGUAAUAACUCCAAGCCUCUUCCGUGUUGUGACGUGCGUCCGAAUUGCCUUCCUUUUUGAGGCUGAAUAAUCUGUUGUCCUGCAUGGGUGGGGCACACUGCAUUUGUCCCUCAUUGGCUGACGGACACGUGGGUUGCCUCCACCCUUGGCUGUUGUGGGGUGCUGCUGUGAUGUGGCUGUGCAAACUCCUCGAGUCCUUGCUUUCAGUCUUGUGGGGGGAGAGACCCACAGUGGAACUGAGGGGUCACGUGGCGCUUCUGUUUCUAAGUUUUGUGGAAACCACCGCCCUGGGCCUAGUUUCUGACGUGUGAAGCUGAGGUCUCUGUGGAUGCCACGUAUGAGUGUGGAGCUGAGAGACUGGCAUGAGCAGGAAGAAUGGGGGCAGGGCCUGGGUGAUGUCACUGUUUAUGGGGAGAUCCCCCCUUGGCCCUGCCCUGGGCCCUUUCAGCUUUCACUUGUCUCCUGGACUCUUGGCCCCCCAAGUCACACCAGACACCACCGAGGUGAUCUGGUCUUGGGACCCCUGGGGCACAGCACACAGCUUGUGCCUCAGGCCCCAGGUGCUGGCUGCUUCUGCCCUGGGCUCGCUGCUGCUGCUGUGGAUUUGGGACGCGCCCAGCACCUAGUGCUGCUACAGAAGAGUCCUAGGAGCAGGCCUUGGACUGAGGAUGGCACUUUGGUCGGACCCUUUCAAUAUCAAACACUGAUCAAUUGUAAUGAACGGCACUGUUCCCACACAUGACCUCUAAUGACUGCUGAGUUCUUAUGAGGAGUGCCUCGUGCUUUGCAGCAUCUAACGUCUCGAUAGUGACCUGCUAGUGCCCGUCCAGCCCGUCAGCAGAUCACGGUCACAAACCCUGGGAGAGGUGGGCUUGCCAUGCCACUGCCCCUGCUGAUUCUCCAUCCAGCUGCCGCCUCCUACUGCAGGGCACCGCCGCUCCUUUCUUGGGUCCUGGCAUGGCUCGUGGUAAUUAUCUCCCCUCCCCCACCCCCCACAGCUGACGACAUGUUUCCUGUGUGAGACUGUCUCCCGAGAAGCAGACACCAAGACAGGAUGAGAGAUGCACGGAUUUUAUUGGGAAAAACACCUGCAGGAGAAAACGGGUCUGCGCUGCCUCAGGUCUGAAAUGAUGUCUUCUCUGUCCUGUUUUCUGAGCGGCUCAUUCUGCUGUCAAAUAGGCCCUUUCCCCAGGACCCUUGGGGUCCAGUGUAGGGUCUGACCCGGCAGGACCUCAGCAAAGACUCGUGGCUGCUUGCAGAGUGGACACCUGCCGUCACGUUUUCCUGAGCAUUUCCCUAUAGCUGCCGGCGCACUGGGGAGCUCUAUUCAACCCACAACGGACUGCAGAUCUUUUGGCCGCUGCAUUCACAACUUUGUCCCGAGCCGCUCCGUGGAAGGCAUCCCGGAAGUCUAUCGGUCUUCCCACGAGCGUUCAAGACUCCCAGAUCCCCACGGGCCCUGAUACCAUCUCUGUCUGAGCAGCUGCCCGUGUGUGCGGGAGCACCCUGCCUGAGGCGGAGGGAGCACAGCAUCCGUUCGGAGGCAGGUUCCCAGGAAGCCCAUGACCGCUCAAGGUCCUCUCCUGACGAGGAUGCCACCUGAAACAGUCGGCUGCAGUCGCCGCCGUCCUCCGGCUCCCACUCUACUGGGGUCUCUCUGCUGACCCGGCUUCCCCAGCACCUCUGGUUCUUCCGGGCCCGAUGUCUCUCCACUGUCAUCCUCAGUGCCAGCCUGUCUCCCACGCCAGCUUGUAAACUCCAGGGUGGCGACUUUGUCUCAUUUUCUUUUGUGUUCUCAGCACCUGACCUGCGCAGCCCGGGAGGCAGCUGUGUGAGAGUGAGGUCUGCUCACGUGCCUACUCUGUGAUGAGGUGUCCUGCUCACCUGUGGGGUCAUGCAGGGCCGCUGCUCCCCUAAUGGGAUCCCAUAAACGGUGCAGAGGUUGUCUUGGGGCCCUGGCAGCCGCAAUGUGGUGCCUCCGCUGAGCGUCACCCAGAGGGCAGCAGUGAAGGAGGGGCCGAGCUCUCCACCUCCUGCUCCCCCUCCUCGCUCUCUGACUUUUCCUGCUGCCGUUCUCUUCCUGGGGCUGGGCCUGAAGCCUGAAACCCCGGCAUCAUUAUCCCUGCAAACUCAUCUCUGUAAACGCCCAGGCAGGCGUUCUCCCUCCUCCCACCCACGGACUCCCACUUAGUCCAGCUCUUACCUGGGUUCGUGCAGAAACUUCCUAACCGGUGUGUCCAGGAAGCACUUCAGAUGUUUUCUCUGCUGCUUCCGGUUAUCUUUUAGAUCAGAGAGGGGGGAGUCAGGCCCCAUUUAAACGUCUCCUGGAGCCGAGUGGGAGGGCAGCUCUUGGGCGUCGCCCGGGCUGUUGGUUGAGGGAGCAGGGAGGGGCAGAGACACGAUCUGGAGCCCGGGACUCAAACAUUGGGUCUAAAGAGCUAUGGAGGCCCUGACGGAGCAUGUGUUUAUGGGGGUUGAAUGCAGCCACGAUGCCACAUUAGAAAUCACCAACGAGAAACACUAGACAUUAGAAAUCACCAACGAGAAACACUAGACAUCAAAACUAAGAGCAUUUAAAAUACCCAUUAAUUCAUUAAAACAAUCAUAAACCUGUUAUAUGUCAACGUAAAUACCUUAGGACAAACAGCUAUAUUUUCCAAAACAAAAAGCAUUUAGGGGGCGGCGUGGCAUUGUCUUCGUGUCUGCAGAGCUCUCGAGUGUCUGACUCAGAAGGGUUGGAUGUUCCUGCCUGCUCCUGCAUUCCACCUGCUUGCAGAGCAAGGAGACAGUUCCGUGCGACACAGACAUGCAGCUGGCAAAGUGGGUCCCUCAGGGGGUUUCGGGGAUGCCAGGGUCCAGGAGCCUCGCUGAGAGCUUCCAAUAUGGUCUCGAAGGUGCUCAGCAGAGCCAGGGCAGUCAGGGAGCUGGGGAGCCGGACUUGGGGGCUGGGUGCCCCCUCCCUCAUCCAGAACAGCCCCAUUUGUAUCAGAUACAUGUCUCGGGCUCCGAGUCAAACGCUGUGUGUACAAUAAGGUGGACACGCCUGCUCUAGGGCCUGGGGCUACACUGGAAAGGUGAAGCUUUGGGAUGGGAUGGUGGAGGGAACCACUAGGGCCCUGGGAGAUAAGGGCAAGAGGCCUCAGGUGUGCCCAGGUGGAUGAGCCAGGGCGUCUGCAAUGCUGCUGGUCCGGUCCCAAAGCCAGCACAGAGGCCCUGCUACCUCCACCUGCUGACCCCAGCUGGACUCCAGGAAUCGCUCCUGGCAGCAGCAGGGAGUCCUGUGGAGCCAGGCCACAGAGCCACGUGGUGCAAGGGUGGCUGCUGCCAGGAGUGGAGAGGUGGCGUGCACACGGGUGACCUUGGGUGCACAGGCGCCGUGUGCACACACAAGAGAUGGUUGGCCCACGGGAUGUUGCUAUUCCUCCACCUCCCCAGCGCACUUGGUCCACAUACCUGCCCUGCCGCACCUGGUGCUACACCCUUGGGAGCACUGCCGAGGCCCAGAAGUCCUGGGCAUGAGUGUGGCCUCCUGACAGGUGGGGCUCUGGCUCUCAUCUGGGAGCACAGCAGAAGCUCUUGUCUGGGAGCAUGGCUGUCCAAGCCUGUGGAGAGUUGUCCUCCAGAGCCACCUCUUGCUGGAGGCAGAGCGCCUGCAGCAGGAUGUGGGCCUCACAUCUCAGGGCCUUGGCCUCCCUCGUGCUUACCCCUCCCACAGGCUCCUCUGCCCUUGCCGUCCUCACAUGGACCCUCUCCGAGAUCCCCGAGUGCGCAUCCCUUCAGGAGCCACUGGCACAGUGUCUGUUUUCUGCCUCGCUUUCCUCUCCAGGGUAUCCCCUGCUGCCCUGCAUGAGGCUUCUUUACCUGCUGUCUGUUCACCCCGAGGCGGGAGCUUCCUGAAAGCUGGAGCACUGACGGCGCGGUCCCUGCAGAGUCCCCAGCACCCAGUCAAGCCGCUGCGAGGAGGACUUGGGCCUCAGGAUGCACGUGCAGCCAUGGAGACCCCACGGGGCGGCCCUUCGGAUGAUCCUGGCCUUCUGGGUGGUCUCUGAGGGUUUGUUUCUUUCUGGGACUUUCUAACAGGAGGCCUUGCUCCUUGCCUCCGACUCAGCCGUGCCUGUGGCUUCCCCAGUGGGUCGGAAGUCACCGCUCAUCCGAUGCUCGGCGUCCUCCUCCCCAACCUGCACAGCCCCCGGGGCUCCAGAAAAUUCCGCCUCAGCCUGACAGGGCUCUCUCCAGGCUGGUGCGGGUGGGGAUAGGCCUGAGAAAGUCUUUUCCGGGUCACAGGCAGCCCUGAGCACACGCUGCGCAAUGCACCCACCUGACCCACUGACCUCGACCCUUGACCCCAACCCCUGACUCUGGGGACACGGGACGCUCCCUUCAGGAGGUCUGGCCUCACCUCACUGGCUAGUGGCCCCCAAAAGCAGGAGGAGCCAAUGUUCACUCCACAAAGCCCUAGGCCAGAGGCCAGGAAAGGCACCCAUAGGGCCUGGGGUGAGCAGGGAGAGGGGUAACUCCAUGGUGAGUUUGGGGAUUAACCACCCUCUCCGUGGUGGGUGUGGUGGCUGCCACAGUCCAAGCACAGGAAAGCAGGAGAGGGACGCCCGGCCCCUCAUCUGAGUGAGGCAGCCAGGGCCCGAACUGGAGCUGAGCCAGCAGCAGGAUCGCCCACCAACAGCAGAACCCUGAUCUCAGACUUGGACACCAAACCUCAAGGGCAACCCCCAGCCUUCCACCCUGUGUCUCCUCCCCACUCCGCUGGGCGGUCCCCCUUCCCUCCUUAUCCCUUCCCCUCCCCUCCCUGUCCCUUCCCCUCCCCCUCUUCCCCCAAAUCCCCUCCUCUGUCUCCUGCUCCUCCCAGAAGCCUCUUCUCACCCGAGGGCCCUCCUUCAGGCUCUUAGCCCCACAGCCCUCGCCAGAAGACCAUCCCUGGUUCAAGGCCAGCGCUGGAACACUGGGGUGCUCAAGGGCCCUGGGCCCUGGUGAGGGUGGUAUGUGCCAGCACACCCUGAGCCACCUGUGCAGAAUCUCCCCAACCUCUGGCCACUGAGUCUACCUGGCGUCCUCUGGGGAAGGUGCUGCUGCGUUCCAGGGGGUGCUGAGAGAAGGGAAGCCUCCGGGGCCCUCUGCCAUCAAGGUGCACAUGCAGAUUCCCUUAGUUGCACUGACUCCAACCUGAGCACCUACCCUCCCUCACCUGUACCAUGAGGUCCCGGAGGGCGGGGGCUGAGGGUCAUCCCUGUCCCUCCAGGAUCUGCGCUCAGUGCUGCGGGAGCAGGGAGAUUGCGCUCUCCCUUGCCAAUGCUUUUUGUUCUCUUCAGGCCCCCAACUGCUUGGAAGAGGCCCAGUCACACAGGGAGGGCCACCUGCUUUGCUCAGUCCACCGAUUCAAAUGCUAAUCUCAUCCAGACACACCCAGAAUAAUGUUUAACCAAAUAUCUGGGCACCCUGUGGCCCAGUCGAGCUGACAUGUUAGAAUGAACGCACACGCUGGUAAAGGCUGCCUGGGCUCCUCCCACUCGCGGGCAUCAGGCCUCGUGUGCUCGGUUUUACUGACUCCAUUUCACUGAUUUUACUGUCUCGAGGACAGUCCUCCGUGGAAGUUCUGUCACUAUGGGUUCUCCGUGAAAUUGCCAGCAUUUGGCCUGAGUGACCUCCUAGCUCUCUGCUAGCCAAUGCUGGUCCCACGGUGCCUCUGAGCAUGGCAGGCAUGGUGGGGCUGUCCCUCUGCAGCUGCCUGCCAGAGUGUCGGGUCUGAGAGGCCUCGGGCUGCAGGCUGGGAGACGUUGCAGGGAGCUUACCUCCGCUGAGCCUCACCCACAGGAUUCUUUGAUGGGACCCCACCUCCAUGGUCCCAGUUUUAAGGUCAUCUGAUUGUUUUUAUGACUUUACUUUCCCCAGAAAUUUGCUUCCAAGCAGGUCCAGCUGAAAUCAGCACCUUUUAAAAAAUCAAUCCAAAUGAAAAACGGUGUUUUAUUUUUUAGGUUUUACCACUUGCAAACCUGAGGCCACCCCCUGCUCUGUCCUUCUGGAUAUGCAACAGCGGAGCCAUGAGAUGGCCGCAGCGAAGGGGUCUCCGAAACGACCUAGUGAUCCAGGAGUUAAGAAGGAAUUACUUAGGCAGAUAGCAAGGGUAUGGGAGUCCUCCGUCAGGCUUUCCUUUUUAAUGAAAAGCAGUCCCAAAUCAUUUUUUAACAAAGAGCAGCCUGCGAGCUGGGAGCUUGCAUGGGUGAACGCCGGCCGGCACUAAAGACUAGACAUUUUCAUUUAUUUAUUUUUUUAUUUAGAGACAGAGUCUCGCUCUGUUGCCCAGGCUGGAGUUCAGUG
Long non-coding RNA from Cercocebus atys (sooty mangabey), 7651 nucleotides. RefSeq lists it as uncharacterized. Lineage: Eukaryota; Metazoa; Chordata; Mammalia; Primates; Cercopithecidae. The record is from RefSeq and is a predicted model, not a curated record. The transcript is spliced from 5 exons.